This 547-nucleotide long non-coding RNA is filed under the name Anas platyrhynchos platyrhynchos (common mallard). Its description in RNAcentral is "lncRNA (ENSAPLG00000029184.1)". The record is from RNAcentral. Lineage: Eukaryota; Metazoa; Chordata; Aves; Anseriformes; Anatidae.
GGGGAACUGCUGCUGCCUGCCUGGAGCACGUCCAGCUCUCCUUCCUCACUGCUGUUGGCAUCUGCAGGGCUGUUUUUUUCACAUCUUCUCAUCCAUCUCCCUGCUGCUGCUGUGCAGCAGAUUUUUUCCCUCUUAUAUAUGCUCUCACAGAGAUGCAACUUGGUUCAUGUGUAGCUCAGCCUCAGUUAGCUGCUUCCUAGCCUGGAGGAAUAGAGAAAUGGUUCCAGAAGAGUGAUACCUUGGUAGGACCAUAGUGGAUGUGUCAUCAGGAGAAAAAGCAGGGAGAGAAUGAAGGACAUAUCAGAAAUGUGAAAUCUCCAAUCUGAGGGAAAGAUUCAUGAUGAUGAUCUGGGAGCUGCUAAAUCACCCACCUGCUUCCCCAGCUGACCAACAAAGAGGAAGAAUAUCAUACAGAUUCACAAGGCUGAACAGAAAACACGGAAAGAAGGAAAUCCUUUCAUGUUGAUCAUCAAGACAGUUGUGCAUGGAAAAGAUUUACUCCAGUGGCUUUAUUAAGACCUGAUUCAUUAUGGCCCCUCACUACAAG